RNAcentral lists this ribosomal RNA (496 nucleotides) under uncultured bacterium. RNAcentral describes it as "partial 16S ribosomal RNA". It matches the Rfam family "Bacterial small subunit ribosomal RNA", at positions 28 to 506 of the family's 1533-position model. The record is from RNAcentral.
GAUGAACGCUGGCGGCGUGCCUAAUACAUGCAAGUCGAGCGAACAGACGAGGAGCUUGCUCCUCUGACGUUAGCGGCGGACGGGUGAGUAACACGUGGAUAACCUACCUAUAAGACUGGGAUAACUUCGGGAAACCGGAGCUAAUACCGGAUAAUAUAUUGAACCGCAUGGUUCAAUAGUGAAAGACGGUUUUGCUGUCACUUAUAGAUGGAUCCGCGCCGCAUUAGCUAGUUGGUAAGGUAACGGCUUACCAAGGCAACGAUGCGUAGCCGACCUGAGAGGGUGAUCGGCCACACUGGAACUGAGACACGGUCCAGACUCCGACGGGAGGCAGCAGUAGGGAAUCUUCCGCAAUGGGCGAAAGCCUGACGGAGCAACGCCGCGUGAGUGAUGAAGGUCUUCGGAUCGUAAAACUCUGUUAUUAGGGAAGAACAAAUGUGUAAGUAACUAUGCACGUCUUGACGGUACCUAAGCAGAAAGUCACGGCUAACUACGU